AGGAGUGCACAAAAGCAUUAGAAUUAAAUCCUUUAUAUAUGAAAGCUUUGGUGAGAUGGGCUGAGGCUCAUGAAAAACUAGAACAUUUUGAAGAGGCUAUUGCUGGCAAGUUCGGAUUUCAUAUUAAUUUUAGACUCUUAACAUAUCAAAGUGGUUAUGUUAUUUCUUAUUAGUUUCAUUUUUAUGUCUUUGAAUUUUGUUGACCUAUUCUUAUAUCUGGACAAUACUUUUUGCUUUUCUUUUUUUCUUCUUUUAUGCUAAUAAGGAUUUGAAGUUUGUACAUAGUUUUGCUCUCUGUUGCUUUGUUUAUUGUACCUUGUCAUCUUCUCUUUUCUUGCAGAUUUGAAGAAAAUCUUGGAGAUUGAUCCGUCUUUAAAUGACCAAUCCAAGAGAUCCAUUGGCCUCUUGCAGCCUCUGGCUGAACAAAAGCGAGAAAAGAGAUGAUUGGUAAGAUAAGUGCAUCAUCUUCUUGUGCAUUAUAUGUUUUUCGCUUCUUUUGAAGGUUUAGGAUCUUAUAAGUUCCUAAUGAAGCAAGGCAUGCCUUCUCAUGUCCGGAGUGUAUGCCAGAGCAUGAGAAAAUUCAUAAGGAAUAAGGAAAGGACCUUUGGGUUUGGUAUCUGAACACAGUUUCUUUCUACUAAUUAAGUACUAGCCACUAGUUUGAAGACUCGAAUGGCAUGCGCUCACUUGAGAAAGCUGUGACGAAGUACUUCAAAAAUUGGCAUUCAUCAUUCAUCAUCAUCGGCAUCAGGCAUUUUAUACGAACCCAAAAUAAAUUAUUUCUGAGAGAGCCAUAGCAUAAAUAAAAGUUUUCUCAGGCUGUUUCAAUAAUUCAUUUCUGCAGGCUUCAGCCUUCAGACCUUUUCAAGUAUUCUAAGGCCACUGAAAGCCUAUAAUAUCCUGGAAAAAAUUAUGAACUGCCUCACUUUCAUUACGUAACGGGGACAAAAAAUCAGUGGAUAGUAACUCCUAUGGGAGAUUUAUCCUAAAUUCAUGAAGUACUCAGAGUAGACCAUGCUUUAAAACUGCCAUCCAAGGAUAUAUAGAAGCUGAAAGAAAUGGGCAACUAAUUUGGGAAUGAGCUUCCAACAAUAGAUUUUCGGCAUGAUGUUUUUACAUCCAUAACAAGGUCCAGUAGCAGCCGUCCAUACACUUACACAUAUAACAACAGUGGCACUUCCUUCCUUGCAGAAUAAAUUAUACAAGUAAAUGAAGAGUGGACAGAUCAGUGAAUUUGUGGAAACAGUUUUAUUUUGUUAAACCAGUGCCAAUAGUUAGUUAAAAAUUGCUUCCAUGAGAGAGUUUCAAUUAAUAUGGAUUGAACUUGUAUGAUGAGAUCCUAUUAGAUCACAAACAUGCAACUGCAAAGCCAGUCACAACUUUUUGAUCAUAUAUAGACAUAUAUAUAUAUAUAUAUAUAUAUAUACACUAAUAUUCUACCGGGCAACUUUGGCAACUUGUGCGGGGCAACACAUGUCCCAUCAGAUGUGGUGGGAUGUUUGUCGGCCAUCUCAUCUUGCCCAUGGGACGAUGGCCAGUAGAAUAAAAUUAUAUAUAUUUUUAAUUUAAUCUAUCAAUUUCCUAUACAAUCAAAGCAUAUACCAGUUGCAUCUUGCAACUUUGACAAAA
Long non-coding RNA from Ziziphus jujuba (common jujube), 1629 nucleotides. RefSeq lists it as uncharacterized. The record is from RefSeq and is a predicted model, not a curated record. The transcript is spliced from 2 exons. Lineage: Eukaryota; Viridiplantae; Streptophyta; Magnoliopsida; Rosales; Rhamnaceae.